UAAUACGGAGGGUGCAAGCGUUAAUCGGAAUUACUGGGCGUAAAGCGCACGCAGGCGGUUUGUUAAGUCAGAUGUGAAAUCCCCGGGCUCAACCUGGGAACUGCAUUUGAAACUGGCAAGCUAGAGUCUCGUAGAGGGGGGUAGAAUUCCAGGUGUAGCGGUGAAAUGCGUAGAGAUCUGGAGGAAUACCGGUGGCGAAGGCGGCCCCCUGGACGAAGACUGACGCUCAGGUGCGAAAGCGUGGGGAGCAAACAGGAUUAGAUACCCUGGUAGUCCACGCUGUAAACGAUGUCGAUUUGGAGGUUGCGCCCUUGAGGCGUGGCUUCCGGAGCUAACGCGUUAAAUCGACCGCCUGGGGAGUACGGCCGCAAGGUUA
This 376-nucleotide ribosomal RNA is filed under the name uncultured Serratia sp. RNAcentral's name for it is "bacterial SSU rRNA". It matches the Rfam family "Bacterial small subunit ribosomal RNA", at positions 521 to 896 of the family's 1533-position model. Lineage: Bacteria; Pseudomonadati; Pseudomonadota; Gammaproteobacteria; Enterobacterales; Yersiniaceae. The record is from RNAcentral.